AUGGUAUGUGGAAAAGCCCUUCCCCCCCCACCCAUCUUUCUGUUUCUGUCUCUGUCCCACUCUUUUUCUCUCUCUCCCUGCCAAUUCUUUCUCUCUCUCUUUUUCUCUUUCUGUUUCUGUCUCUCCCUCCCUCUCUCUCUCCCUCCCUCUCUAUGUCUCUCUCUCUUCCUCCUUCUUCAUUGUCUGUCUCUGUUUCUCCCUUUCUCCUUCCCUCUCUCUGUCUCUGUCUCUCUGUUUCUCUCUCUGCCCCACUUUCUCUCUUUUUUCUUUCUGUCUCCUUCCUCUCUUUUUCUCUCUCUGUUUCUGUCUCUCACCCUUUCUCUCUCUCUCCCUCCCUGUCUCUGUCUCUCUUCCUCCCUCCUCUCCUUUUUUUCUCUUUGUUUCUGUCUCUCUUCCUUCCUCUCUCUGUCUCUCUUUUCCUCCCUCCUUUCUAUCUCUUUUUUUGUUUCUCUUUUCCCCUCCCUCCCUCUGUCUCUCUCUUCUUUCCUGUCUGUCUCUCUCCGUUUUUUUCUCUCUGUCCCUCCGUCUCUCUCUACCCCACUUUCUCUCUUUUUUCCUUUCUCUUUCCCUCCUCUCUGUUUCUUGUUUUCUCUCUGUGUUUCUCCCUCUCUCCCUUUCUCUCUCUCCUCCCUCCUUUCUAUCUCUUUUUUUGUGUUUCUCUUUUCCCCUCCCUCCCUCUGUCUCUCUCUUCUUUCCUGUCUGUCUCUCUUCCUCCCUCCUCUCUCUCUCUCUCUCUCUCUCUCUCUCUCUCUCUCUCUCUCUCUCUCUCUCUCUCUCUCUCUCUCUCUUCUUUGUUUCUUUCUCCCUUCCUCCCCCCUCUCUCUCUUUUCCUCCCUCCUUUCUAUCUCUUUUUUUUGUGUUUCUCUUUUCCCCUCCCUCCCUCUGUCUCUCUCUUCCUCCCUGUCUGUCUCUCUCUGUUUCUUUCUCUCUGUCUCUCCCUCUCUCUCGGUCUCUGUCUGUCUCUUGUCUAUUUUCUUAUCCACAGGGAAGACUAUACAUUCAACUUGUCCUAAACCCAAAGCAGCUCACUGUAGCCUUGUAGGGGCUGCUCUGAGGUGGUAG
Molecule: long non-coding RNA, 1062 nt
Filed under: Phascolarctos cinereus (koala)
Lineage: Eukaryota; Metazoa; Chordata; Mammalia; Diprotodontia; Phascolarctidae
Description: lncRNA (ENSPCIG00000034693.1)
Source: RNAcentral